This 220-nucleotide non-coding RNA is filed under the name Lysinibacillus macroides. RNAcentral's name for it is "T-box sequence". It matches the Rfam family "T-box leader". Rfam says of the family: Uncharged tRNA acts as the effector for transcription antitermination of genes in the T-box leader family. T-boxes are found upstream of many aminoacyl-tRNA synthetase genes and some amino acid biosynthetic genes usually in Gram-positive bacteria. The record is from RNAcentral. Lineage: Bacteria; Bacillati; Bacillota; Bacilli; Caryophanales; Bacillaceae.
GAAAAAGCGUUGAGAAGGAGAAGUAAGUGGCGCAUGCUCUCAAGAGAGGACCAUCACCGGCUGAAAAUGGUCUGAGCCUAGGCAAAACUGAAAUGCACCUUUGAGCAUAAAGCUGAACAUAUAGUAGGCUUUAUCGAGUCGUUCCCGUUAAAGGACGUUCAGAGUGGAAGGUUUUUUGCCUUCAAUCAGAGUGGAACCACGCAAAUUAGGCGUCUCUGUC